UACGUAGGGGGCGAGCGUUGUCCGGAUUUAUUGGGCGUAAAGAGCUCGUAGGCGGUUCAACAAGUCGGUCGUGAAAGUUCAGGGCUCAACCCUGAAAUGUCGAUCGAUACUGUUGUGACUAGGAUACGGUAGAGGUGAGUGGAAUUCCGAGUGUAGCGGUGAAAUGCGUAGAUAUUCGGAGGAACACCAAUUGCGAAGGCAGCUCACUGGGCCGCUAUCGACGCUGAGGAGCGAAAGCUAGGGGAGCAAACAGGAUUAGAUACCCUGGUAGUCCUAGCUGUAAACGAUGGAUACUAGACGUAGGAACUGGAUUGACGGUUUCUGUGUCGUAGCUAACGCGUUAAGUAUCCCGCCUGGGGAGUACGGUCGCAAGACUAAAACUCAAAGGAAUUGACGGGACCCCGCACAAGCGGCGGAGCAUGCGGCUUAAUUCGAUGAUACCCGUAGAACCUUACCUGGACUUGACAUAUAGGGUCUAGCUAUAGAGAUAUAGUGUGCAUUAGCGCCCUAUACAGGUGGUGCAUGGCUGUCGUCAGCUCGUGUCGUGAGAUGUUGGGUUAAGUCCCGCAACGAGCGCAACCCCUAUCCUAUGUUGCCAGCAUUUAGUUGGGGACUCAUAGGAGACUGCCGGUGAUAAACCGGAGGAAGGUGGGGGCGACGUCAAGUCAUCAUGCCCCUUAUGUCCAGGGCUGCACGCAUGCUACAAUGGCAAGUACAACGAGUCGCAAUACCGCGAGGUGGAGCAAAUCUCUUAAAGCUUGUCUCAGUUCGGAUAGGAGUCUGCAACUCGACUCCUUGAAGUUGGAGUCGCUAGUAAUCGCAAAUCAGCAAAGUUGCGGUGAAUACGUUCUCGGGGUU
Molecule: ribosomal RNA, 858 nt
Filed under: uncultured bacterium
Lineage: Bacteria
Description: bacterial SSU rRNA
Rfam family: Bacterial small subunit ribosomal RNA
Source: RNAcentral